AUGACUUGGAGGGUAUUAUCCCUACCACUUGCAUUGUCUCUUUCGUUGAGUGCUCUUUCAAGUUCUUGCUUGUGCACAAAUCACUACAUGUUGACCAGGUUCGAGGUGACAUUCCUUGGGACCCCGGUGGAUUUAGAGCAUGGUGAAAAGGAGAAGCAAUGGGCACAUACAAGGAAGAGAAAAGCUGGAGCAUGCACGAGGAUAGAGAGCAUGAGGAUAGAGAAGCAAAAGGAGAGGAGUCACAAUGCAAGAGGAUGUGAGAUGAUCGAGCGAGUUCUACUUCAUAAAGCCUGGUGUAUACCAUGUGCUCUGGAUCGGUGGUAUGUUCCUUUGGGGAGGCAAACAAAAAAACUAAUAAUUGGUCGAGCCGGGUAUAUUCCAUGUUCUCGGGAUCGGUGGUAUGUUCCUUUGAAAAGGGCGAAAAGGCCCAAAAUCCUUCUAUAA
Molecule: ribosomal RNA, 444 nt
Filed under: Triticum aestivum (bread wheat)
Lineage: Eukaryota; Viridiplantae; Streptophyta; Magnoliopsida; Poales; Poaceae
Description: partial small subunit ribosomal RNA
Source: RNAcentral